GUGAAUAAAUUAUUAUUAAAUAUUUAUUGUUUGUGUGAUUUAAUGUUUAUAUAAAUUUAAAUUAUUUGUUUAUAAGGUAUUAAGAGUAUAGAUAUAAUGUUUUGUAAAGUACUGUGAAGGAUAAAAAGAAUAUUUUUUUAUAGUAGAUUAUUAAUUCGUACCUUUUGUAUAAUGGAUUAAUAAUAUAUUUAAUUUAUAUAAAUUAUUCUCGAAGUGAAAAGAUUUACUUAAUAUAUUUAUGUUAACGUGGUAUAGUUAUAUAAUUAGUGUUGAGUGGUAGUGAAAUAUUUAUCGAUUUUCAUGAUAGCUAGUUUGUUGAUAAGGAAUAUUUAAGUAUUUUAAUAUUAAUAUAAUUUUAUUUAUUUAAUAUUGUUUAUAUUAUGAGGGAUAAGCUUCAUAUUAUGUAUAGAGUAAAUUGUAUUUAAUUAUAAUUAGAGUAGAGUUAAUAAUGCUUUUCUUAAUAAGUAGUUUAAAUAUAAUUAUGUUUUUUUUUUCAAGUAAUAUAAUCAUAAAUGUUUAUAAAUUAAUUUUAAGUAAAUAUAAUGUUAGUAUGAGUAUUAAUUAGGGUUAUAAAUUUAAUUAUUUUUAAUAAUAAAUAUAUAUUGUUUAAUUAAUAAAGUGAAUUAAGGUAAAGGAAUUCAGCAAAUAUUAAUCUCGCCUGUUUAUCAAAAACAUCUCUCUUUGUAUAUUAUAAAUAAAGAGUUGGGCCUGCUCGGUGAUAUUAAUUUAACAGCUGCGGUAUUUUAACUGUACUAAGGUAGCAUAAUAGUUUGCCUUAUAAUUUGAGGCUAGAAUGAAUGGUUUGACGAAGUUUAAUCUGUCUCUAUUUUAUUUUAUAGAAAUUAAUUUUUAUAGUGAGAAAGCUUAAAUUUUUUAAAGGGACGAGAAGACCCUAUUGAGCUUAUAAUUUUAGUUUAUUAUAAAUAGUAAUAUUAAAUAAAUUUUAAUUGGGGUGAUUAAGGAAUAAAAGGUGUUAAGUAAGAGUAACUUCCUUAGAAUAUAUGUAUAUUUAUAAAUUAACCAAUAUAAUAUAUUGCUUAUAAUAUAGUUACCAUAGGGAUAACAGCGUAAUUUAUUUAGAGAGUUCUUAUUAAAAAAUAAGAUUGCGACCUCGAUGUUGGAUUAAAGUAACCUUAAGGUGUAGAAGCUUUAAUAGGUAAAUCUGUUCGAUUUUUAAAACUUUACAUGAUCUGAGUUCAGACCGGCGUGAGCCAGGUUGGUUUCUAUCUUUUAAAAAUAUUAAAUGGUUUCUUUUAGUACGAAAGGAUCAAAGUUAACUGAAUUAUUAAUUAUAGUAUUGAUGUAUUGUUUAAGGUUAAUAUAAUUUAAAUGGAUAAUGAAUUACAUUAAAUGUAUAAACAUGUUCU
RNAcentral lists this ribosomal RNA (1367 nucleotides) under Eumandya parva. RNAcentral's name for it is "16S ribosomal RNA". The stretch from base 1059 to 1218 matches the Rfam family "Bacterial large subunit ribosomal RNA", at positions 2473 to 2632 of the family's 2925-position model. The record is from RNAcentral. Lineage: Eukaryota; Metazoa; Mollusca; Cephalopoda; Sepiida; Sepiolidae.